CUGGAAAUUAUUUUUUGGUCACUGCCAGUCAGACAAUCGAUUGUUGCCUUAAACAAUUGAUUGUCUGAGACGUUAAAUAUUCUGGCAGUUAUUUUGGAACACCAGACAAUCGAUUGUUAAAGCCUAACAAUCGAUUGUUCUGGUCCAGUGAGUUGAAACGUUUUUUAAUUAUACCAUGCAAUCGAUUAUCUAUUGUAGACAAUCGAUUGUAAUGGUCCAGAAACU
RNAcentral lists this long non-coding RNA (225 nucleotides) under Nicotiana benthamiana. Its description in RNAcentral is "long non-coding RNA (NBEN_LNC018373)". The record is from RNAcentral. Lineage: Eukaryota; Viridiplantae; Streptophyta; Magnoliopsida; Solanales; Solanaceae.